UUUGAUCCAUGCUCAGAUUGAACGCUGGCGGCAGGCCUAACACAUGCAAGUCGAGCGGUAGCACAGAGAGCUUGCUCUCGGGUGACGAGCGGCGGACGGGUGAGUAAUGUCUGGGAAACUGCCUGAUGGAGGGGGAUAACUACUGGAAACGGUAGCUAAUACCGCAUAAUGUCGCAAGACCAAAGUGGGGGACCUUCGGGCCUCAUGCCAUCAGAUGUGCCCAGAUGGGAUUAGCUAGUAGGUGGGGUAACGGCUCACCUAGGCGACGAUCCCUAGCUGGUCUGAGAGGAUGACCAGCCACACUGGAACUGAGACACGGUCCAGACUCCUACGGGAGGCAGCAGUGGGGAAUAUUGCACAAUGGGCGCAAGCCUGAUGCAGCCAUGCCGCGUGUGUGAAGAAGGCCUUCGGGUUGUAAAGCACUUUCAGCGGGGAGGAAGGCGAUAAGGUUAAUAACCUUGUCGAUUGACGUACCCGCAGAAGAAGCACC
RNAcentral lists this ribosomal RNA (490 nucleotides) under Klebsiella pneumoniae. RNAcentral describes it as "bacterial SSU rRNA". It matches the Rfam family "Bacterial small subunit ribosomal RNA", at positions 12 to 494 of the family's 1533-position model. Lineage: Bacteria; Pseudomonadati; Pseudomonadota; Gammaproteobacteria; Enterobacterales; Enterobacteriaceae. The record is from RNAcentral.